CCUACCGAGAAAGCCACGGCUAACUACGUGCCAGCAGCCGCGGUAAUACGUAGGUGGCAAGCGUUGUCCGGAAUUAUUGGGCGUAAAGGGCUCGCAGGCGGUUUCUUAAGUCUGAUGUGAAAGCCCCCGGCUCAACCGGGGAGGGUCAUUGGAAACUGGGGAACUUGAGUGCAGAAGAGGAGAGUGGAAUUCCACGUGUAGCGGUGAAAUGCGUAGAGAUGUGGAGGAACACCAGUGGCGAAGGCGACUAUCUGGUCUGUAACUGACGCUGAGGAGCGAAAGCGUGGGGAGCGAACAGGAUUAGAUACCCUGGUAGUCCACGCCGUAAACGAUGAGUGCUAAGUGUUAGGGGGUUUCCGCCCCUUAGUGCUGCAGCUAACGCAUUAAGCACUCCCCCUGGGGAGUACGGUCGCAAGAUUGAAACUCAAAGGAAUUGACGGGGGCCCGCCCAAGCGGUGGAGCAUGUGGUUUAAUUGGAAGCAACGGGAAGAACCUUACCAGGUCUUGACAUCCUCUGACAAUCCUAGAGAUAGGACGUCCCCUUGGGGGGCAGAGUGACAGGUGGUGCAUGGUUGUCGUCAGCUCGUGUCGUGAGAUGUUGGGUUAAGUCCCGCAACGAGCGCAACCCUUGAUUUUAGUUGCCAGCAUUCAGUUGGGCACUUUAAGGUGACUGCCGGUGACAAACCGGAGGAAGGUGGGGAUGACGUCAAAUCAUCAUGCCCCUUAUGACCUGGGCUACACACGUGGUACAAUGGACAGAACAAAGGGCAGCGAAACCGCGAGGUUAAGCCAAUCCCACAAAUCUGUUUUCAGUUCGGAUCGCAGUUUGCAACUUGACUGCGUGAAGCUGGAAUCGCUAGUAAUCGCGGAUCAGCAUGCCGCGGUGAAUACGUUCCCGGGCCUUGUACACACCGCCCGUCACACCACGAGAGUUUGUAACACCCGAAGUCGGUGAGGUAACCUUUUAGAGCCAGCCGCCAAGUGAUCAGUGU
This 992-nucleotide ribosomal RNA is filed under the name Bacillus sp. YY-18. Its description in RNAcentral is "bacterial SSU rRNA". It matches the Rfam family "Bacterial small subunit ribosomal RNA", at positions 478 to 1474 of the family's 1533-position model. The record is from RNAcentral. Lineage: Bacteria; Bacillati; Bacillota; Bacilli; Caryophanales; Bacillaceae.